GCCUAACACAUGCAAGUCGAGCGAAUGAAUUUCCUUCGGGAAUGGAUUUAGCGGCGGACGGGUGAGUAACACGUGGGCAACCUGCCUCAUAGAGGGGAAUAUCCUUCCGAAAGGGAGAUUAAUACCGCAUAAGAUUGUAGUACCGCAUGGUACAGCAAUUAAAGGAGCAAUCCGCUAUGAGAUGGGCCCGCGGCGCAUUAGCUAGUUGGUGAGGUAACGGCUCACCAAGGCGACGAUGCGUAGCCGACCUGAGAGGGUGAUCGGCCACAUUGGGACUGAGACACGGCCCAGACUCCUACGGGAGGCAGCAGUGAGGAAUAUUGGACAAUGGAUGGAAAUCUGAUCCAGCCAUGCCGCGUGCAGGAAGACGGCCUUAUGGGUUGUAAACUGCUUUUAUACGGGAGCAAUAAGGGUUACGAGUAAUCCGAUGAGAGUACUGUAUGAAUAAGGAUCGGCUAACUCCGUGCCAGCAGCCGCGGUAAUACGGAGGAUCCGAGCGUUAUCCGGAAUUAUUGGGUUUAAAGGGUGCGUAGGCGGCCAUUUAAGUCAGCGGUGAAAUUUUGCAGCUUAACUGUAACAGUGCCGUUGAUACUGUUUGGCUAGGAUUUGGUUGUAGUGUGCGGAAUGUGUGGUGUAGCGGUGAAAUGCUUAGAUAUCACACAGAACACCGAUUGCGAAGGCAGCACACUAAGUCAUUAUUGACGCUGAGGCACGAAAGUGUGGGAAUCAAACAGGAUUAGAUACCCUGGUAGUCCACACUGUAAACGAUGAUAACUCGCUGUCGGCGAUACACAGUCGGUGGCCAAGCGAAAGCAUUAAGUUAUCCACCUGGGGAGUACGACCGCAAGGUUGAAACUCAAAGGAAUUGACGGGGGCCCGCACAAGCGGAGGAACAUGUGGUUUAAUUCGAUGAUACGCGAGGAACCUUACCCGGGCUCGAACGGUGCAUGAAUAUACGAGAGAUUGUAUAGUCCUUCGGGACAUGUAUCGAGGUGCUGCAUGGUUGUCGUCAGCUCGUGCCGUGAGGUGUCGGGUUAAGUCCCAUAACGAGCGCAACCCCUAUCGAUAGUUACCAGCACGUUACGGUGGGGACUCUAUCGAGACUGCCGGUGUAAACCGUGAGGAGGGUGGGGAUGACGUCAAAUCAGCACGGCCCUUACAUCCAGGGCUACACACGUGUUACAAUGGCCGGUACAAAGGGCAGCUACACAGCGAUGUGAUGCUAAUCUCCAAAUCCGGUCUCAGUUCGGAUCGAAGUCUGCAACCCGACUUCGUGAAGCUGGAUUCGCUAGUAAUCGCGCAUCAGCCAUGGCGCGGUGAAUACGUUCCCGGGCCUUGUACACACCGCCCGUCAAG
RNAcentral lists this ribosomal RNA (1356 nucleotides) under uncultured bacterium. RNAcentral's name for it is "partial 16S ribosomal RNA". It matches the Rfam family "Bacterial small subunit ribosomal RNA", at positions 46 to 1401 of the family's 1533-position model. The record is from RNAcentral.